CGGGGCGUGGCGCAGCUUGGUAGCGCAUCUGCUUUGGGAGCAGAGGGUCGCAGGUUCAAAUCCUGUCGCCCCGA
RNAcentral lists this transfer RNA (74 nucleotides) under Staphylococcus chromogenes. RNAcentral's name for it is "tRNA-Pro". It matches the Rfam family "tRNA". Rfam says of the family: Transfer RNA (tRNA) molecules are approximately 80 nucleotides in length. Their secondary structure includes four short double-helical elements and three loops (D, anti-codon, and T loops). RNAcentral also lists the same sequence under 10 other names. The record is from RNAcentral. Lineage: Bacteria; Bacillati; Bacillota; Bacilli; Caryophanales; Staphylococcaceae.